RNAcentral lists this transfer RNA (92 nucleotides) under Candidatus Parvarchaeum acidophilus ARMAN-5. It matches the Rfam family "tRNA". Rfam says of the family: Transfer RNA (tRNA) molecules are approximately 80 nucleotides in length. Their secondary structure includes four short double-helical elements and three loops (D, anti-codon, and T loops). Lineage: Archaea; Nanobdellati; Candidatus Parvarchaeota. The record is from Rfam by way of RNAcentral.
GGGCCCAUAGUCUAACUUGGAUAGAACAGAUGGCUUCGAAUGCCACAGAUGGGAGUAACCAUCUGAUCUGGGUUCAAAUCCCAGUGGGCCCA